RNAcentral lists this ribosomal RNA (292 nucleotides) under uncultured Acidobacteriota bacterium. Its description in RNAcentral is "uncultured Acidobacteria bacterium partial 16S ribosomal RNA". It matches the Rfam family "Bacterial small subunit ribosomal RNA", at positions 1088 to 1377 of the family's 1533-position model. Lineage: Bacteria; Pseudomonadati; Acidobacteriota. The record is from RNAcentral.
CGCAACGAGCGCAACCCUUGUCUUCUGUUGCCAUCAGGUUAUGCUGGGCACUCUGAAGAGACUGCCGGUGAUAAACCGGAGGAAGGUGGGGAUGACGUCAAGUCAGCAUGGCCUUUAUGUCUGGGGCUACACACGUGCUACAAUGGCAGAUACAAACCGUCGCGAGACCGCAAGGUGGAGCUAAUCGGAUAAAGUCUGUCUCAGUUCGGAUUGCAGGCUCCAAACGCGGAAUGCAUGAAGUUGGAAUCGCUAGUAAUCGCGGAUCAGCACGCCGCGGUGAAUACGUUCCCGG